UACGUAGGGGGCAAGCGUUGUCCGGAAUCAUUGGGCGUAAAGCGCGUGUAGGCGGCUCGAUAAGUCCGCUCUGAAAGCCCGGGGCUCAACCCCGGGAGGCGGGCGGAAACUGUCGGGCUAGAGUCCGGAAGAGGCGAGUGGAAUUCCCGGUGUAGCGGUGAAAUGCGUAGAUAUCAGGAGGAACACCUGCGGUGUAGACGGCUUACUGGACCAUAACUGACGCUGAGGCACGAAAGCGUGGGUAGCAAACAGG
Molecule: ribosomal RNA, 253 nt
Filed under: uncultured bacterium
Lineage: Bacteria
Description: partial 16S ribosomal RNA
Rfam family: Bacterial small subunit ribosomal RNA
Source: RNAcentral